CCUACGGGUGGCUGCAGUGGGGAAUAUUGGACAAUGGGCGAAAGCCUGAUCCAGCCAUGCCGCGUGUGUGAAGAAGGCCUUCGGGUUGUAAAGCACUUUCAGUGGGGAAGAAAGCCUUGGGGCUAAUACCCUCGAGGAAGGACAUCACCCACAGAAGAAGCACCGGCUAACUCCGUGCCAGCAGCCGCGGUAAUACGGAGGGUGCGAGCGUUAAUCGGAAUUACUGGGCGUAAAGCGCGCGUAGGCGGUCUGAUAAGCCGGUUGUGAAAGCCCCGGGCUCAACCUGGGAACGGCAUCCGGAACUGUCAGGCUAGAGUGCAGGAGAGGAAGGUAGAAUUCCCGGCGUAGCGGUGAAAUGCGUAGAGAUCGGGAGGAAUACCAGUGGCGAAGGCGGCCUUCUGGACUGACACUGACGCUGAGGUGCGAAAGCGUGGGUAGCAAACAGGAUUAGAUACCCUGGUAGUC
RNAcentral lists this ribosomal RNA (465 nucleotides) under Vreelandella stevensii. RNAcentral's name for it is "partial 16S ribosomal RNA". It matches the Rfam family "Bacterial small subunit ribosomal RNA", at positions 338 to 795 of the family's 1533-position model. Lineage: Bacteria; Pseudomonadati; Pseudomonadota; Gammaproteobacteria; Oceanospirillales; Halomonadaceae. The record is from RNAcentral.